This 297-nucleotide long non-coding RNA is filed under the name Mytilus galloprovincialis (Mediterranean mussel). Lineage: Eukaryota; Metazoa; Mollusca; Bivalvia; Mytilida; Mytilidae. The record is from RNAcentral.
GCUCCGCAGGGCGCAGCUUUAUACGACCGCAGAGGUUGAACCCUGAACGGUUGGGCAAGUAUGGACACAACAUUCAAGCUGGAUUCAGCUCUAAAUUUGGAUUGUGAUUAAAUAGUUGACACAGCAUAGGUUUCUGACACAGAAUGAAUGUGGUCUAAUGAACUUAAAAAAAAUGUUUGCCUUUGAGCAAUUCACUAUGCUGUUGAAUAUUAAUCCUCUCAAAAAAAUGUUUGAAGAAAUUUUCUUUUUAUUUAUGAAAUCUGAAAUGAAAAAAAUUGACCCUCCAAUUUUUUUUUU